This 440-nucleotide ribosomal RNA is filed under the name uncultured bacterium. RNAcentral describes it as "partial 16S ribosomal RNA". It matches the Rfam family "Bacterial small subunit ribosomal RNA", at positions 338 to 795 of the family's 1533-position model. The record is from RNAcentral.
CCUACGGGCGGCAGCAGUAGGGAAUAUUGCUCAAUGGGCGAAAGCCUGAAGCAGCAACGCCGCGUGAAGGAUGAAGGUCUUCGGAUUGUAAAACUCUUUUUUUAGAGAAGAAAAUACCGGUAUGUAACGAUUCACGUCUGGCCAACACCGAACCAGCAGGCGCGGUAAUACGGAGGGUGCGCGCGUUAUCCGGAAUUAUUGGGCGUAAAGGGCGCGUAGGCGGGUUAGUAAGUCAGAUGUGAAAGCGUUCGGCUCAACCAUAGAAGUGCAUGUGAAACUGGAAUUCUUGAGUACAGAUGAGGUAGGUGGAAUUCUUGGUGUAGCGGUGAAAUGCGUAGAGAUAAAGAGGAACACCAAUUGCGAAGGCGACUUGCUAGACUGUAACUGACGCUGAUGCGCGAAAGCGUGGGGAUCAAACAGGAUUAGAUACCCCUGUAGUC